Molecule: long non-coding RNA, 274 nt
Filed under: Elaeis guineensis (African oil palm)
Lineage: Eukaryota; Viridiplantae; Streptophyta; Magnoliopsida; Arecales; Arecaceae
Description: long non-coding RNA (EGUI_LNC011793)
Source: RNAcentral
GUGUAACAUCCCUAUGCUCUAAUGUGGGAACUCAUGGCCGAUCUUACCCAAAUCUGUGUAGAUCCCAGGUAACUUUGUGCAUUCCUAUGCUUUGAAGUAGUAAUUCCUGACCGACAGUACCCAGAUCUGUGCAGAUCCCAGGUACAGUGGAAGAAGGGAAGGGUUUGGAUUAAGAGCAGAGAGGAAGAAUAAGGAUUUGGGGAGGAAUUCAGGUAAGUUAGAGAGAAGAAGAAGAGUUCAGAGAAGAGAAGAAGAGAUCUGGGAGAUGGAUCUG